RNAcentral lists this ribosomal RNA (301 nucleotides) under uncultured bacterium. RNAcentral's name for it is "partial 16S ribosomal RNA". It matches the Rfam family "Bacterial small subunit ribosomal RNA", at positions 509 to 809 of the family's 1533-position model. The record is from RNAcentral.
CAGUAGCCACGGUAAAACGAACCGUGCGAACGUUAUUCGGAAUCACUGGGCGUAAAGCGCGCGUAGGCGGUUUUUUAAGUCUGAUGUGAAAGCCCACGGCUCAACCGUGGAGGGUCAUUGGAAACUGGAAAACUUGAGUGCAGAAGAGGAGAGUGGAAUUCCACGUGUAGCGGUGAAAUGCGUAGAGAUGUGGAGGAACACCAGUGGCGAAGGCGACUCUCUGGUCUGUAACUGACGCUGAGGAGCGAAAGCGUGGGGAGCGAACAGGAUUAGAUACCCCCGUAGUCCCUGUCUCUUAUAA